UGGACAGGUGGCAGAGCGGUCGAAUGCGCUCCGUUGUUACCGGAGUUUACCUUUACGGAUAACGGGGGUUCGAAUCCCUCCCUGAUUAA
Molecule: transfer RNA, 89 nt
Filed under: Phyllobacterium trifolii
Lineage: Bacteria; Pseudomonadati; Pseudomonadota; Alphaproteobacteria; Hyphomicrobiales; Phyllobacteriaceae
Description: tRNA-Asn
Rfam family: tRNA
About the family: Transfer RNA (tRNA) molecules are approximately 80 nucleotides in length. Their secondary structure includes four short double-helical elements and three loops (D, anti-codon, and T loops).
Source: RNAcentral